This 592-nucleotide ribosomal RNA is filed under the name uncultured bacterium. Its description in RNAcentral is "bacterial SSU rRNA". It matches the Rfam family "Bacterial small subunit ribosomal RNA", at positions 59 to 697 of the family's 1533-position model. The record is from RNAcentral.
AAGUCGAGCGCACCCUUCGGGGCGAGCGGCGGACGGGUUAGUAACGCGUGGGAACGUACCCUUUUCUAAGGAAUAGCCUCGGGAAACUGAGAGUAAUACCUUAUACGCCCUUCGGGGGAAAGAUUUAUCGGAGAAGGAUCGGCCCGCGUUAGAUUAGAUAGUUGGUGGGGUAACGGCCUACCAAGUCUACGAUCUAUAGCUGGUUUUAGAGGAUGAUCAGCAACACUGGGACUGAGACACGGCCCAGACUCCUACGGGAGGCAGCAGUGGGGAAUCUUAGACAAUGGGCGCAAGCCUGAUCUAGCCAUGCCGCGUGUGUGAUGAAGGCCCUAGGGUCGUAAAGCACUUUCGCCAGGGAUGAUAAUGACAGUACCUGGUAAAGAAACCCCGGCUAACUCCGUGCCAGCAGCCGCGGUAAUACGGAGGGGGUUAGCGUUGUUCGGAAUUACUGGGCGUAAAGCGUACGUAGGCGGGUUAUUAAGUUAGAGGUGAAAUCCCAGGGCUCAACCCUGGAACUGCCUUUAAUACUGGUAACCUAGAGUUCGAGAGAGGUGAGUGGAAUUCCGAGUGUAGAGGUGAAAUUCGUAGAUAU